CCUACGGGAGGCAGCAGUGGGGAAUAUUGCACAAUGGGGGAAACCCUGAUGCAGCGACGCCGCGUGAGUGAAGAAGUAUUUCGGUAUGUAAAGCUCUAUCAGUAGGGAAGAAAAUGACGGUACCUGAUUAUGAAGCCCCGGCUAACUACGUGCCAGCAGCCGCGGGAAUACGUAGGGGGCAAGCGUGAUCCGGAUGUACUGGGUGUAAAGGGAGCGUAGACGGCAGCGCAAGUCUGAAGUGAAAUGCCGGGGCUUAACCCCGGAAGUGCUUUGGAAACUGUGCAGCUAGAGUGCAGGAGAGGUAAGUGGAAUUCCUAGUGUAGCGGUGAAAUGCGUAGAUAUUAGGAGGAACACCAGUGGCGAAGGCGGCUUACUGGACUGUAACUGACGUUGAGGCUCGAAAGCGUGGUGAGCAAACAGGAUUAGAUACCCUAGUAGUC
RNAcentral lists this ribosomal RNA (440 nucleotides) under uncultured bacterium. RNAcentral's name for it is "partial 16S ribosomal RNA". It matches the Rfam family "Bacterial small subunit ribosomal RNA", at positions 338 to 795 of the family's 1533-position model. The record is from RNAcentral.